UUGGCGGACGGGUGAGUAACGCGUGAGAAUCUGCCUUUAGGACGGGGACAACAGUUGGAAACGGCUGCUAAAACCCGAUGUGCCCUUCGGGGUGAAAUAUUUAUAGCCUGAAGAUGAGCUCGCGUCUGAUUAGCUAGUAGGUGCGGUAACGGCGUACCUAGGCGACGAUCAGUAACUGGUCUGAGAGGAUGACCAGUCACACUGGGACUGAGACACGGCCCAG
This 223-nucleotide ribosomal RNA is filed under the name uncultured bacterium. Its description in RNAcentral is "partial 16S ribosomal RNA". It matches the Rfam family "Bacterial small subunit ribosomal RNA", at positions 95 to 334 of the family's 1533-position model. The record is from RNAcentral.